Molecule: long non-coding RNA, 5791 nt
Filed under: Sus scrofa (pig)
Lineage: Eukaryota; Metazoa; Chordata; Mammalia; Artiodactyla; Suidae
Description: lncRNA (ENSSSCG00060058290.1)
Source: RNAcentral
CUGCAGCACAUGAAAGUUCCCAGGCUAGGGGUUGAACUGGAGCUACAGCUGCUGUCCUACACCACAGCCACAGCAAUGUGGGAUUCGAGCCAUGUCUGCAACCAUCACCACAGCUCUCGGCAACACCAGAUCACUGACCCACUGAGCUAGGCCAGGGAUCCAACCCGCUUCCUCAUGGACACUAGUUGGGCUUCUAACCUGCUAAGCCAUAAUAGGAACUCCAAAUCUCCAACCCUCUUUUGAUUGUCUGAGAGAGCACUUUUUUCAUUUUUGAAGGUUAAUUUCACAGGAUACAGAAUUCUAUAUUUUUCCUCCUUUUUAAAAAAUUGAAGUGUAGAUUUACAUCGUGUUAGUUUCAGGUGUAGAGCAAAGUGAUUCAGUUACAUUUGUUCAGAUUAUUUUCAAUUAUAAGUUAUUAAGAGAUGCUGAAUUUAGGAGUCCCCGUCGUGGCUCAGUGGUUAACAAAUCUGACUAGGAACCCUGAGCUUGCGGGUUCGAUCCUUGGCCUUGCUCAGUGGGUUAAGGAUCCAGCGUUGCCAUGAGCUGUGGUGUAGGUCGCAGACGCAGCUCGGAUCCUGAGUUGCUGUGUCUCUGGCGUAGGCCGGUGGCUGCAGCUCCGAUUCGACCCCUAUCCUGGGAACCUCCAUAUGCUGUGGAGUGGCCCUAGAAAAAGGCAAAAAGACACACACACACACACACACACACACACACAAUGCUGAAUUUAGUUCCCUGUAACUCCUUGUGGCUUAUUUUUCUCCUCUUAACACUUGAAUUAUUUCACUCCACUCUUUUCUUACUUGUAUGGUUUCUGGAAAGAAGCCUGAAGGAGUUCUCACCCUUGUUCCUCUAUAGGCAAGAUUCUUCCCCUCUGGCUUCUUUCCAGGUUUAUUCUUUGUCUUUGAUUUUUCUGCAGUUUCAACAUGCUAUGCCCAGUAGAAGAUUUUUGGAGUAUCUUUCUCGUUCUGAGACGCCUCGAUUUGUGGUUUGGUUCUCUCUCACUGAUUUUGGAAGAUCCUUUGUCACUGUGACUUGAAGUACUUCCUCUUUUCCUUUCCUUUUUUCUUCUUCUGGUAGUCCCAGUAUGUGUGUGCUAGACAUUUGAUAAUUGUCCCACAGAUCUUGAAUAUUCUGUUCCAUGUUUUUCUUUUUUUCCCUUUGCAUUUCAGUUUUGGGGGCCAUUAUUUACAGAGCUUUAAGCUCACCGAUCCUUUCCUUGGUCUACUCAUGACUCCAUCAAAGGCAUCCUUCAUUCCCAUUACAGAGUUUUUCAUUUCUAGCAUUUUCUUUUAAUUGUUUCUUAGUGUUUCUAUCCCUCUUGCUUACAUUACCCAUUUUUCUUGCAUGUGUCCAUUUUUUUCAUUAGCGCUCUCAGCAUAUUAUUAGUUGUUUUAGAUUUAUAGUCUGAUAAUUCCAACAUUGUUGCCAUGUCUGAGUCUGGUUCUGAUACUUGUUCUGUCCCAGCUGCAUUGUGUCUUUUAGUAUGCCUUGUAGUUUUAUGCUAAAAACGAGACAUGACAUACUAUGUAGAAGCAACUGAGUUAAACAGGCCUUUAGGGUAAAGCUUUAUGUUUAUCUGGCUUGGAAUUAGGCUGUGUUUAUUGUCUGCUGUAACUGCAGGUGUUAGAGGCUAAAAUGUUCUCUCACAUCCGUGUUUUUGUCUCUUCUGUUGUCUUUGUGUUUCUCCAGAGACUUCUUUUUGCUUUUUUAGGGCCGUACUCACGGCAUAUGGAAGUUCCCAGGCAAGGGGGCAGAUCAGAGCUACAGCUGCCAGCCUACACCACAGCCACAGCAACUUAGGAUCCGAGCUAUGUCUGCGACCUACACCACAGCUCAGGGCAACGCUGGAUCGCUGACCCACUGAGUGAGGCCAGGGAUCAAACCCAUAUCCUCAUGGAUGCUAGUCAGAUUUGUUUCUGCUGCGCCACAAUGGGAACUCCUCCAGAGACGUCUUAAAUAAGGUCUGAGAUGUGCCUUCUUGAGUUGUAAUCCCCUGUUGUUCAGCCCGAGCCUACUGAUGUGGUGGUAUGUAUUGGAGGAACGGGAGCUUUUUAUAGUCCUGUGAUUAGGUGUCAAACUUUUAGUGACUUCUGCCGCUGGGCUUUAACUUUCACUAGUAUUUCCCAGUUUUGGGUUCCAACCCCUUAGUAGGGACAGAAAAAGGUUAAUGAGGGCAGGACCUGGACGUUUCCCUUUCGCCAUGUGAAAAGUCGCAGUGGGCUGAGCUGGGUAUUUCCCUUCCCUGGGUCAGUUAAGUUCUGGUUCAACCUCAGUCAGUUAGUCUCUGGUUAAGUGGUUUCUCUUAAGGGUAGACCAUAUUAAGGAGACUAGAAUGCUUUGGAUGUAUUUUCAAAAUAGCUCCUAUUCCAUUACCCGUUCUGGAGGCACAGAGGGGUUCUUCUUCACUCUUGACUCUGGGGAGCUGCAAGGGCCCCUGGAAGUGAAACUCACAGAAAUGUUAGACUCCUCCCUAAGACUGGUCCCCCUAAAACUUUUAACUCUCAAGCUGGUCUACAGGCUUGAAUUGCCUCUGGCAGGUCGUAGGCAGGUCAUCGUCUGCAGUUGAAGUUUUCCCACCCUGGUACUGGCUCCACUGGCCGCUCCCUUUCUUGAGCUUUCUUUUCGGUGAACUGUGACUCUCUGCAUGCACCUGUCUCCCCAGUCUUUCGGGCAGCAGUUUCCUCUGAGGACUUCAAGUCUCUGCUGGAUCCCAGAAGAGUAACUGAUUUUGAACUUAUUCAGCUUUUUUUCUUGUUGUGAAGAUGGGCGUGUUGACGUCAAGCCCCUUACGUGCUGGGCCAGAAAAGCCUCAUCUCCUUUUUAGGAAUCAGUCUGUGAAAGGCCUUCCUGGGUGGGGCAUCCCCUUCUCCAGGAAGCCGGCAGAACCCACUGAGGUUGGCCAGAACGCCGCCUCUAGACCCCGUGCAGACCUCUUACUCCACCUCAGGAAACAGAAGUGUCUCUCUUACUGAUCAUGAGGUAAAAGCCGAAGGCCCACAGAACUGGGUCCAAGGAAGAAAACCCAAAAGCUUGAACAGAAACAUUUCUAAAGUAGUUCUCACGCUGGGUCUGCCUAGGCCACAUCAGAGAUGUGAGGCACAGGGACAGUAAGACCGUCAGCGCACACCGACAGGAGGAGGGGCAACCUGCCCAGGGGGACUCCGCAGAGGGUGCGGUACCUACCUGCCCCCAUGCUAUAUUUUAGGAACAGGGUACCUGAUCCUCGAGAUCAGGCCAUGUCAGACUGCUCAGAGCACAGGGCUAGCUGGCACAGAGCAGCCACAGUAGGUACUUCAUCUGAAUUGAUCCUUCAGAAGCCCGGAGCACAGUACCGGGCAGUACAACAAACAAGUGGUCAGCCCACAAGCUCUCACAUCGACUGAUCCUGGCCCACCUCUCCAUGGAAAGCCAGGGACUAGGCUUCCCUGCCUUAGGCAAGUGCCCCAUCAAGGGAGAUUUCAGCACUGAGGAGAUCCUUCUCUCUUGAAAGCGGAUGAUGAACAGCUGAAGCAGGACAAGUGCAGGGCCCAGACUGAAGCUGAGGCCCGGGUACAUCCCAGCGGCCCUCCUGGGAGGUCCCCAGGGACCAGCCCCAGGAAAUGCAUAUCACAGAUGCCCUCAGACACAGAGACCCAGGCCACAGCAGAGGUAUGCAACAAACAGCAAGCAGGCUUUAAUCGAGGGUGUAAAACCAGGGUAACCCUAGCCUCUUAGGUUGCAAGGACUUCUCUCUUCUCCUUGAGACACAGGCCCAGGCCUGUUUCCUAAUGAGAACCCAGAAAUCGGUCUUCAUCCCCAAGCUGUUUAUGUGCUGGUUCGGAUCUCUCUCUUGCUCUGGUUGGCUCGCAUCUGUCAGGCAUUUUCCUUCCUUGGGGACAGCAGUCUUCUCACAUGCAUCUGUGUUUUGAGGCUCUGGGUGUAAGGGAAGGCACCUUGCAAUUAAGCUGCCUUUCCACUAGCUGUUCCCUCUGCCUAGAACACUCUUGCCCAGAUGUGUGCCUGGCUAGCUCCCUCAUCGUCUUGAUCUUUGAAAUCUUUGCUCAAAUACUACCUUUUCAACAAGGCUCUAUUGCAAUCGGCUCCCUCUGCCAACCCCCAGUGCUCCUGACUCCCUUACUUUGCUCUAUAUUUUGCAGAGCUCUUAACAACUUCUCUGUCUUUGCAUUUUCUGCAGUUUGAAUAUGAUUUGCCUCGUUCUAUCACAUACAUGUAGACUGUAUCUUCUUGGUAGUGCUAGAAUGUAAGCACCCUAAGAGCAGGAAUUUUUGUUUGUUUGGGUCACUGAUAACCCAAGCACACAGAAAUGGCACAGAAAAGGCAUUCGCCAAAUGAGUGUGUGGAGGAAAGGGGAAACCUGGGUUUGGCUCCCACCCUGUCACCUACUGCCAGCGUGUGCCUUUGGCAGUUUACUUCGCCCUCAGCCCCAGUUUCUUCAUCUCUGAGACUGGGGUCCAGGCACCCACCUCACUGGAUUACGCACCCGGGCAGGGGCUGGGCAUGAACAGCUCGUUAAUAAACAGGCCUGGCCACCUGACAUAAUUACUGCUCCCUCUCAACCUCCUCACCUUCCAUCUGUUCUAAGUACCCUUUCCCCUCAGGGGCAUCACCAAGGCAAUUAAUGUGGCAGAGCCUUCAGGUCUGGGGCUGUGAUGAGCGGAUGAGAGAAUGAGGCCAUGAAAAACCCAAAGAUCUCAGGAUUCUCUCUUCCCUGUGCUAGUAGAGCUGACUCAAGGGCAGCUGACUCAGGCUCUCAGCAACCCCCACACCCCAGAAGAUCUGGGGCCAAUCUUCUGGUUCUGUGAGACAUCGGAGCCCUCCCUUGACCUACGAAACCAAGUCUGACAGAGCCAAUUUUCUAAGCCCUCUGAUCACCAUCAAGCCCACAGCAAAGAAAGGGACUCGGAGCUCACCAGGACCUCACAGAUGUGUGGGGAGCGUCAGGUCACUCCAUGCACAGGAAACGCCUCCUCCUGCCUGCACCUGUGAAAAGAUGAAAAGAUGUACUCAGGAGGGUGCGCAGGCUCCCAGGUAGAGGUCAGGGUCCCGUGUCCUGCCUCCACCACUCAACAGCUGUGGGUUCUUUGGUUUCCUGAGGUCUCCGGGCUUCAGGGUGCUGAGCUGUAACAUGAAGACCCUGACGGCGCCCGCCUCCCCGGAUCGCUGUGGGUUUGGGUGGGAUGUACCGCUGCGGGGCCUGAGCACUUGCCUGGCACCAGCUGUAGUAAUGAUCACUAGGUCAUUUUCAAAGGCUUUUAAACCACUCAGCCAUACAAAGAAUGACAUCUUGCCACUUGCCAAUGGGACCUCCAUCACUAGUUUGUUUCAUUUUUUAUUUUUUAUUUAUUUUUUUGUCUUUUGUCUUUUUAGGGCCGCACCCGCAGCAUGUGGAAGUUCCCAGGCUAGGGGUCUAAUCAGAGCUGUAGCCGCUGGCCUAUACCAGAACCACAGCAACGACAGAUCCGAGCUGCGUCUGCAACCUACACCACGGCUCACAGUAACGCCGGAUCCUUAACCCAUCAAGCGAGGCCAGGGAUCGAACCCUCAACCUCAUGGUUCCUAGUCAGAUUCGUUUCUACUGUGCCACAACGGGAACUCCAAGAGUAGAAAUAUUUUAACUUUUAAAAGGUACGGCCAGAUUUCUCUCUAAAAAGGCACAGCAAGUUACACUCCCACAAUAGUGUAAUAAAAUAAUCUUUUCCCCAUAAUCUUCCAGCUUUUGAGUUUUUCAAUCUUUUUAAUAUUUGUAAAUCUUCAGAGAUAAAAAUUAUUUCUCAUUUCAAGUUGCAUUUACCUA